Molecule: ribosomal RNA, 253 nt
Filed under: Phocaeicola coprocola DSM 17136
Lineage: Bacteria; Pseudomonadati; Bacteroidota; Bacteroidia; Bacteroidales; Bacteroidaceae
Description: partial 16S ribosomal RNA
Rfam family: Bacterial small subunit ribosomal RNA
Source: RNAcentral
UACGGAGGAUGCGAGCGUUAUCCGGAUUUAUUGGGUUUAAAGGGAGCGCAGACGGGAGAUUAAGUCAGUUGUGAAAGUUUGCGGCUCAACCGUAAAAUUGCAGUUGAUACUGGUCCCCUUGAGUGCAGUUGAGGCAGGCGGAAUUCGUGGUGUAGCGGUGAAAUGCUUAGAUAUCACGAAGAACCCCGAUUGCGAAGGCAGCUUGCUAAACUGUAACUGACGUUCAUGCUCGAAAGUGUGGGUAUCAAACAGG